RNAcentral lists this transfer-messenger RNA (195 nucleotides) under Gammaproteobacteria bacterium. Its description in RNAcentral is "partial transfer-messenger RNA". It matches the Rfam family "transfer-messenger RNA", at positions 1 to 196 of the family's 374-position model. Rfam says of the family: Bacterial tmRNA, also known as 10Sa RNA or SsrA, is named for its dual tRNA and mRNA-like properties. Its role is to liberate the mRNA from a stalled ribosome. To accomplish this part of the tmRNA is used as a reading frame that ends in a translation stop signal. The record is from RNAcentral. Lineage: Bacteria; Pseudomonadati; Pseudomonadota; Gammaproteobacteria.
GGGGGCGACUUGGUUUCGACGCGGGUAGCAAAACCUUAGGUGCAUGUCGAGGGGCAGACCACCUCGUAAAUCCAACUGCAAACUCUAUAGUUGCCAACGACGACAACUACGCACUCGCCGCUUAAUACCCGGUAGGGUGCCGUCCGGACUGGGGCCGUGCUUGUGCGCCCAGGUUUCCGGGCGUCAUAUCUCACA